RNAcentral lists this ribosomal RNA (574 nucleotides) under uncultured organism. RNAcentral describes it as "bacterial SSU rRNA". It matches the Rfam family "Bacterial small subunit ribosomal RNA", at positions 674 to 1259 of the family's 1533-position model. The record is from RNAcentral.
UGUAGUGGUGAAAUGCGUAGAUAUCGGAAGGAACACCAGUGGCGAAGGCGGCCCCCUUGGCUGCUCCUGACGCUGAAGGGGAAAGCUAGGGUAGCGAACGGGAUUAGAAACCCCGGUAGUCCUAGCCGUAAACGAUGGAUACUAGGUGUAGGAGGUUAAAAUUCCUUCUGUGCCGGAGCUAACGCGUUAAGUAUCCCGCCUGGGGAGUACGGUCGCAAGGCUAAAACUCAAAGGAAUUGACGGGGGCCGGCACAAGCAGCGGAGCGUGUGGUUUAAUUAGAUGCAACGCGAAGAACCUUACCAGGGCUUGACAUGUAGGUAGUAGUGAAGCGAAAGCAGAACGAUCCUUCGGGAAGGCUACACAGGUGCUGCAUGACUGUCGUCAGCUCGUGCCGUGAGGAGUUAGGUUAAGUCCUGUAACGAGCGCAACCCCUGCCGUUAGUUACAAGAGUCUAACAGGACUACCCGCCAAAACUAGCAGGAAGGUGGGGAGGACGUCAAGUCAUCAUGGCCUUUAUUUCCUGGGCGACACACACCCCUACAAUAGAUCGGUACAAUAGAGUGGCCACCCUCG